Felis catus (domestic cat) is the source of this 664-nucleotide long non-coding RNA. RefSeq lists it as uncharacterized. The record is from RefSeq and is a predicted model, not a curated record. NCBI's taxonomy places the organism in Eukaryota, Metazoa, Chordata, Mammalia, Carnivora, Felidae. The transcript is spliced from 3 exons.
UUGGCCCAUCUCCACUCAAUUUGAAUAUUUGGUUUAUCCAAAAGUUAUAUGGAUUUAAAGAAUAUUAUUGGGUUUUUUUCGUAGGUUCAUAGGCGAGGAUCCCUUGAGAGACCUGAUCACUCCCCAGGGCUGGUGACUGGCACUCCCUAACCUCGGGUCCUUUCUGGCUGUUGACAAGAGAUACCAGUGCCUUACCUUGUGGGCUUGUUCAUACAGCAGCAUACAACAUGGCAGCCGGCUUCUUCCAGAGCAGGUGAUCAAGAGAGGAAGGAGUUCUUAGCUCCCUGUUAGACAGAGGCUAGAUGUGGUCACGUUCUUCGGAUUUCAGAAUAAGCCACGAGGGUGCUAGAUGCCAACAGAAUUCCCGAGUUGAUGAAAAUCUUCUUUCUGAUUUAUUUAGAUAAAUCCUGGGAUCAUCUGUGAUUUUAAGAGAUAAAGACACUGCACUGAAUGUGUGCUACUGCAUCUAAGACCCACCGCACUAUCCUUGGAUGUAAGUUGACGGUGGAGACGGGAGAUGCUCGAGAGGAAAGCCCCUCAGGGGCAGGAGCAGUGGUGAGCGUGAGAACCAGGAGGGCAGGGGUGCCGUGGCCCCUCCCACGUCAGUGCUCACUGUGGACUCUGCCCACAGGCAGGCAUCCUCGCUGUGCUCCGGAAGCCUGAC